GAUGAACGCUAGCGGCAGGCUUAACACAUGCAAGUCGAGGGGUAGAAGGAGCUUGCUCCUUUGAGACCGGCGCACGGGUGCGUAACGCGUAUGCAAUCUACCUUUUGCAGAGGGAUAGCCCAGAGAAAUUUGGAUUAAUACCUCAUAGUAUGUGAGGAUGGCAUCAUUUUCACAUUAAAGUCACAACGGCAAAAGAUGAGCAUGCGUCCCAUUAGCUAGUUGGUAAGGUAACGGCUUACCAAGGCUACGAUGGGUAGGGGUCCUGAGAGGGAGAUCCCCCACACUGGUACUGAGACACGGACCAGACUCCUACGGGAGGCAGCAGUGAGGAAUAUUGGACAAUGGGCGCAAGCCUGAUCCAGCCAUGCCGCGUGCAGGAUGACGGUCCUAUGGAUUGUAACUGCUUUGUACAGGAAG
RNAcentral lists this ribosomal RNA (417 nucleotides) under uncultured bacterium. RNAcentral describes it as "bacterial SSU rRNA". It matches the Rfam family "Bacterial small subunit ribosomal RNA", at positions 28 to 446 of the family's 1533-position model. The record is from RNAcentral.